This 305-nucleotide ribosomal RNA is filed under the name uncultured bacterium. RNAcentral's name for it is "bacterial SSU rRNA". It matches the Rfam family "Bacterial small subunit ribosomal RNA", at positions 331 to 654 of the family's 1533-position model. The record is from RNAcentral.
UCUCACCUACGGGACGCAGCAGUGGGGAAUAUUGCACAAUGGGGGAAACCCUGAUGCAGCAACGCCGCGUGAAGGAAGACGGUUUUCGGAUUGUAAACUUCUGUUCUUAGUGAAGAAGAAUGACGGUAGCUAAGGAGCAAGCCACGGCUAACUACGUGCCAGCAGCCGCAGUAAUACGUAGGUGGCAAGCGUUGUCCGGAAUUACUGGGUGUAAAGGGAGCGCAGGCGGGAAGCCAAGUCAGCUGUUCAAACUACGGGCUUACCUUGUAGGCUGCAGUUGAAACUGGUUUUCUUGAGGGAAGGAG